Eublepharis macularius is the source of this 764-nucleotide long non-coding RNA. RefSeq lists it as uncharacterized. NCBI's taxonomy places the organism in Eukaryota, Metazoa, Chordata, Lepidosauria, Squamata, Eublepharidae. The record is from RefSeq and is a predicted model, not a curated record. The transcript has 3 exons.
UGGCGAAGCCAUAGUCUUUCCAAAUGGAGGCAAUUUUGACCGGAAAUGGCGAUAGGGACUACGAUUAUGUACGAGCCUCGUCUCUAUGAUUCCAGCGACCGAAUAAACAGCGAGACUUCGACAAACUUCGGAAAUGGUCGGUUUGCUUCGGGAGGGAUCGUACGGUGACUUCGGUGCAACUUGGUGACGCUUCGGAAAGGGCAUUCGUCUCGGAAAGGCUGAGCCGAGCGGGCAGGCGGGGCUGCCUCCCCGCUCGGCUCUCCGCCGCUGCCGCUCGGCUCGGCACCCAGCGAAUCGGGCGGUGACGAGCGGGGACUCUCGUCCCUUCGCCGCUGCCGCCCGCCUCAGGGGCGCCUGUUUGAGCUGCAGGAGGCAAUCCAGGAGUUGCAGACCGAGAAUACACAACUCCAGGGGGAAAUCCAGAAUCUCACAGAGGCCCUGAGUGAACUCCAGCUCUUCGUAUGGAAUCAUUCGCAGGGUUCCGAAUCUGCUGCUGAACACCAACAUGAGCACCUGCAAUGCCACCCAAAUGCCCACUGGCGCAAUGCUGUUGCGCCCAUCAUCUUGGCACCCUUGGUGAUAUGGCUUCUUGCUUCUGUGUCCUUGAUGGCAACAUUGACAAAAGGUUGAGGAAGAGACCUCCUGUUUUGGAUGUGGAGGGAUCACAGGAGCAAUACUCCUCUUUCUCUCCGAGGGCCGCUCUGAUAUUUCCAAGCGCUUCUUACAGAUCCUACCGCAUCUUCCAUUAAAGCUUCCCUGUGGCA